RNAcentral lists this long non-coding RNA (2349 nucleotides) under Homo sapiens (human). Its description in RNAcentral is "HSALNT0300973". The record is from RNAcentral. Lineage: Eukaryota; Metazoa; Chordata; Mammalia; Primates; Hominidae.
UACCCACAGGCACAUGACGGUCUGCACCCAGGCCAGGGCUCAGUGAGGAGCCGGAGUGUCCCGGCCUGCCUGGACUCCAGCCGGGACCUCCCACAUGAGGCUCAUUCAUCUAUGCCCAGGAUUCUCAAAGAACCCCGGCCCCAGCCUGCUCUCUGUCAUGUGCUGAGCCCCAAGCUUACCCAUGCCUCCUGCCGUGGGGACCAGAGAAUGAGAAGACCACCAGGGAGACCCGCCCUGGAGACCAUGGUGUGCUGCUGACUCACGAGAAUGACAUCACCAAGUGUGCCCUCUGUCCUGUCACUUGGAGCUCCUGGAAGCACAGAAUGUCCCUCAGCCUGGACACUGCCCCUGGCCUGGGGAGGUAGAUGCUCCCCACCUCCCCUCCUGCCCUAGUGCAGAGGAAAGAAGAUCAAAUCUGGAGUCAGCAGACAUAGGAGUCUAAUCCCUGGUUCUGAUAUAUCUAGGCAGUCAUUGCCUUAGCCACACUCAGCCUUAAUCUCCUGAUCUGCAAAAUGGGGAGAACCACACUAACUUUGCAGUUUGCGGUGAGAGUCAAGGAAACCCACGUGAGAAGUGUCUGGCACUGUGCCUCGCAUGUACUGGAUGUGCAGUCUUGAAGGAAUCCUACGCUUCAUGAAUGAGGAUUUGACAUCUGGCAGAGGUCUUUAUGAACACAUUUAUGAUCAUCCUUCAAAGCAACCACAUGAAAUGGGCCAGGGGCUUGUUCUCUUUUAGCAGACAGACGGGUUGAGUCACCACAAGAUGCUGUUAUGGUUUAAAUGUGUGGAGCUAUAUAUAUACAUACACACAUACACAUGUAUAUAUCAAUCAAGCUAUACUUAUCCCCAAUAACAGAGAGGAAAAAUAUAUUAUUAGAAUAAGAGCCGCAUAUUUUGGAAAACUUACCAUGUGCCAGAGACUGUUCUAAUUAUUUUAUAAACAUGUCUCUUGUGGUUUUCAAGAUAACUAUAGAAGGUAACUAUUAUUACUUUUUAACAAAUGAAAGCAAACCUCAGGUUAAGUGACUGGCCCAAGGUCACACAGCAAGCAGUGACAGAGCUAAGUUGCGCUGGCUCUAAAGACCAUGUGUUAUCAACAGCGUCCUCCUGCCUUCUUAUGAAAUGGAAUCCAUAUCAAACUGCUAAGCUUUGUUUUUAGCAAAUAACAUGACUGUCUGGGCUGUGGGCUUAAGGAACAGUGAGUUUGGGGGCAAAGGUCACCCUCUAAUAGUGCUUCAUAAUAUUUCUCCCAGAGAAAGACUCUGGAGCCAGGCAGAUCUGGAUCCAGAUUCCAGUUCUGCCACUUCCUAGCUGUGUCCUCUCACUGAGCUCUCAGAGGCCUCCUUGGCCCGCAUGCUCAGUGGAGUGUCUGGUUGGCCCCGCAGCCCUUGUGUCCAGAUCUGCUGGGCGACACAGUGCCUGGCUGUGCCCUGCAGAGGCUUUCCUGUCCCUGGCUCCCAUGCUUCCCCUGAGGAGAGCAGGCGAUGGGUGUCAGCUUAUGUGAGCCCUUUGGUUGCAUGGAUCGGGUGAAAAACAGACAGAGCUGAAGAAUUUGAACUGAGAUGUCAAUUGUGGAGCAGGAUUACUCAUAGCAGCCACCGCCCACUAGGCCAGAACACCUUCGUUUAAACAAACCAACAUCCCAGGGGACAGUGCCUGUUGAGCAAGCUGCUGAGAGCCCUUCACUAGUGCUGAGUCCUCAGGCCUGCAGGGGACACUCCACAUCUGACCCUGCAGGAGAGCGGUGUCCAGGAGCAGGCACCUCAGAUCCAUCCAAGUCACACAGGGAGGCCAGAAGGGCAGCGGGGACACUGAACGCUCUACACGUCCUGAGGUCCCUGACCUCAUAGGCUGGAGGGGAGCAUUUGCUUUGUCUUGUGGAAAGUCCCCAAGUGGAUGGGCUAACAAUCGAUUCCAGUUGCACCCACGCUGCUAACUCUGGCCAUGUUUCCUAUACUUCCGUUCCUGUGAUCCAUCUCUUGCCCCUUCCAGAUCAGACAGUGACCUCCCGGGCCUCCUGGGGAUGCAGUUGUCCUCCCUGCACUCAGAUCUGGAGCUGCUGCUUCCUAGCGGAGGAGUCAGCCUACCGAGCCAGGCCGUUGUCAAGCCCUGAGCCCUCCCCACUUCCGCCUCUGCCCGCUUUCCUGUCCCAGCUGUGAGCCUCUCCGGGGACUCAUUUAAACUGAAGACAAUUGCCUCAGAUAAAGAACAACUGGCCUCCUCCCUAUGUGGCUAAAAUUAUCAAAAACCGAAGAGGGCGUUGCUGACCUCAGCCUUCCCCAGCCUUUCUCCUGCCUUGGUCCACUUGAAUAUCCCUCUGGGAGCCUGUGACAGCUGCCUACGUGGGACC